This 657-nucleotide long non-coding RNA is filed under the name Apteryx rowi (Okarito brown kiwi). RNAcentral's name for it is "lncRNA (ENSARWG00000015375.1)". The record is from RNAcentral. Lineage: Eukaryota; Metazoa; Chordata; Aves; Apterygiformes; Apterygidae.
CAGGAAACUCAGCCUGGAAGGGGUGAGAGCCCAACAUAAGUAUGGAAAUGAGUGGAUGAGAACCUGCCCAUUCAGGCUUAGAUAAACCUUGCUGGGAUGUCUCACACUUGCCUUUCCAAAAGACCCAAGUUAGUUCCUUCCUCUGCUCUCCUGUCCUAGUUGCAGCACUGGCAUCUUGUGAGAAGAACUGAGGAAACCCAAGCAGGUGUUGCCAUCUACUUGGACAAGCUGAGCCAUAAGUCUGAGAUAUAUGUCCUGCAUCUGGAACAGGAGAUUGGGGUGACCAACCUGAAGCCAGGGCAUGUCAGGGUCUAUGACUACUACCAUCCAGAGGAGCAGGCCCUGGCUGAUUAUAAUGUUUUCUGCAGCUGAGCCCACAGGGAUCCCAGUAGUGGGAGAUGCCCCAGAUCAGCAGGGCUGCUGCAUUGUUGCUUCUGGGAUGAUGGGGCAUGUGCCUCCUGGAAAGUCAUGCCUCAGUGGGCUUGGGAUAUUGGUGCUGGGGCAGAUCUCAAGUUGGAUUUCAGGAUUAAACCUAGCCCAAGCCUUGUUCCUUAUCCUGACGGAAUAUUUUGUGGUGAAUUUAUUUGGGUGUCUGAUUAAUUCUGAUUGUUUUAAUCCAGAGAUUUUCCUGCUUGUAAAAAGAAUGAAAACAAAAUA